This 253-nucleotide ribosomal RNA is filed under the name uncultured bacterium. RNAcentral describes it as "partial 16S ribosomal RNA". It matches the Rfam family "Bacterial small subunit ribosomal RNA", at positions 524 to 776 of the family's 1533-position model. The record is from RNAcentral.
UACGAAGGGGGCUAGCGUUGCUCGGAAUGACUGGGCGUAAAGGGCGCGUAGGCGGCUUACAUAGUUAGGCGUGAAAUUCCUGGGCUCAACCUGGGGACUGCGUCUAAUACAUGUAGGCUUGAGUGUGAAAGAGGGUCGUGGAAUUUCCAGUGUAGAGGUGAAAUUCGUAGAUAUUGGAAAGAACACCGGUGGCGAAGGCGGCGGCCUGGUUCAUUACUGACGCUGAGGCGCGACAGCGUGGGGAGCAAACCGG